GCGAAGGCGUCAUUAACGAGACAGAAGAGCUGACGGUCGAGUCAGAGAAUGUUUGUCUAACAUUUGACUCAGAGUCCUGGAAAAGUCCUGGAAAGUCCUGGAAGUGUUGUGAAAUGUGAGUGCUCCCUGCUCUCUGUCUGUCAGGUGAUUCCAGCCUGGAACAUUUCUCCCAUCAAGAAGACGAGCGACGCCAACAAGGCUCCUCAGUUUGUGGACAUCCCUCUGGCUGAUGAAGACUCCUCUGAUGAAGAGUACCGUCCUGAUGAGGACGAGGAGGACGAGACGGCUGAGGACACCUUCCAGGAGAGCGACAUGGAGAGCGCGGCGUCGUCCCCCAGAGGAAGUCGUGUGAGCAGAGUGGACGAGGACAGCUGCAGCCCCUGGCAGGUAACCGAAGCCCCGCCCCCUCUGUGACAUCACAGCAUAGGUGAAACUCUA
Non-coding RNA from Plectropomus leopardus (leopard coralgrouper), 438 nucleotides. NCBI's taxonomy places the organism in Eukaryota, Metazoa, Chordata, Actinopteri, Perciformes, Serranidae. The record is from RefSeq and is a predicted model, not a curated record.